RNAcentral lists this non-coding RNA (86 nucleotides) under Paenibacillus sp. RNAcentral's name for it is "c-di-GMP sequence". It matches the Rfam family "c-di-GMP-I riboswitch aptamer". Rfam says of the family: GEMM was predicted in a large-scale screen for bacterial structured RNA regulatory elements. Lineage: Bacteria; Bacillati; Bacillota; Bacilli; Caryophanales; Paenibacillaceae. RNAcentral also lists the same sequence under 1 other name. The record is from RNAcentral.
CAAACGAAACGACAAACCUAUUGAAAGUAGGGACUCAAAAUUAUGGACCUCAGGAAGAUAAUUUUCACGGCUGCCAAGUUACCGAA